This is a long non-coding RNA of Meriones unguiculatus (Mongolian gerbil), 461 nucleotides long. RefSeq lists it as uncharacterized. The record is from RefSeq and is a predicted model, not a curated record. The transcript has 4 exons. NCBI's taxonomy places the organism in Eukaryota, Metazoa, Chordata, Mammalia, Rodentia, Muridae.
AGAAGCUUUGGGAGCAGAGGGAAGCAGAGCAGGGAAGUCGUCAGUGGCCUUCAGAUAAGAGGACAUUCGACCUUGGCUGUGACCAAGGUCCUCCUCUGGAGGCCCCCAGCGUGCCAGCACAGCCCCAGGGGAGGGCAAGGAAGUCUCCUUGACUGCAGCAGCCCUGCUCAGCCAGGGCUGGACACAGAGCCUCUCGUUAUCUGUUCAUGCCACACGCAGGCAAGGCAUUCUGGGCACACAAGACUUGGCCGGCCUGCAGGAAGCUGGAAGAGCUUCUGUCCCUCUGGGGUCAGAGGUGACUGGAAUUUGGCAGUCAGGGACAUGGGAACUUCCUGUGACCCUCCCAGAGCUGAGACUGGCAGCAGGAACCAGACAGAGCUAGUGGUCAAGAUCUGACAGAAAGAUGAUUUGCAUGACCACUUCCUCCUAAGAGGCAUCGGCAGUGGGCUGAGUGAAGGAGU